RNAcentral lists this ribosomal RNA (485 nucleotides) under Acidobacteria bacterium UCL-085. RNAcentral's name for it is "bacterial SSU rRNA". It matches the Rfam family "Bacterial small subunit ribosomal RNA", at positions 32 to 496 of the family's 1533-position model. Lineage: Bacteria; Pseudomonadati; Acidobacteriota. The record is from RNAcentral.
AACGCUGGCGGCGUGCCUAACACAUGCAAGUCGAACGCGAAAGGGGAGCAAUCCCUGAGUAGAGUGGCAAACGGGUGAGUAACACGUGGGUGACCUGCCUUCGAGUGGGGGAUAACGUCCCGAAAGGGACGCUAAUACCGCAUGACAUCCUGCCUUUAGAGAGGCGGAGAUCAAAGCUGGGGAUCGCAAGACCUGGCGCUUGAAGAGGGGCCCGCGCCUGAUUAGCUAGUUGGUGGGGUAAUGGCUCACCAAGGCUACGAUCAGUAUCCGGCCUGAGAGGGCGGACGGACACACUGGGACUGAGACACGGCCCAGACUCCUACGGGAGGCAGCAGUGGGGAAUUGUUCGCAAUGGGCGCAAGCCUGACGACGCAACGCCGCGUGGAGGACGAAGAUCUUCGGGUCGUAAACUCCUGUCGAGCGGGACGAAUGCUCUGUGGCUGAAUAAUCCGCAGAGGUGACGGUACCGCUAAAGGAAGCCCCGG